Molecule: long non-coding RNA, 556 nt
Organism: Setaria italica (foxtail millet)
Lineage: Eukaryota; Viridiplantae; Streptophyta; Magnoliopsida; Poales; Poaceae
Exons: 2
Source: RefSeq, a predicted model, not a curated record
AUCCUCAUCCAAGAUCGUGGCUUAUUCUGCUCCAUGGUAUGUUCGUGAUCCAGUUCCAACUCAGAUAUAGGAUUCGUAACUUAUUCUGAAGGUUCUUCGCAGGUCCUGAUGUUGCAACCCUUGCCAAAUAUGACGCCCAUCAAGAUGCAUGGCGGAGUAGGUUGCCGCCCCCCUGCAGCCGUCAGAAGAUGAGCCAUCUCCGUUCCCACGGCAAGAUGGUGCCCUGCUGCUAGUCACCAAAUCACCAUGCCGCGGUGUGUCGCAACUCGCAAGGGGACAAAGGUUUGUAGAUCGAGACCUACCAUCACCAAUUCACCAUUGACAGCCAUCUUUACAGAUCUGCUGCCUCAAAUGGGAUCAAAAUUUUGUGCCAUCGAGGAUUACUGAAAAUGAGUGAAGGAUCGACCAAGACAAGAAGACAAAAUACGAUGGAUUCACAUUUUCAUACGUUUUCUGUAAAAUACAUAGGUAGCCUGAGAAUAAUGUAUGCUUAUUUUACUUGUAACCCAUGUAAUUCUUGUUUUAUUCAAUAUAUACAGCCUAACGAGGAAUCAAA